RNAcentral lists this long non-coding RNA (355 nucleotides) under Pan troglodytes (chimpanzee). Its description in RNAcentral is "lincRNA". The record is from RNAcentral. Lineage: Eukaryota; Metazoa; Chordata; Mammalia; Primates; Hominidae.
ACAGGUUAUGCUGUGAGAUGCAGAAAAGGGAUUCUGGUUACUUUGGGGGCAGAUUCUGCAAUAAAAGCGCAGAUACUGGCAAGGGCUCCACCACCCAGGGAGGAAUUCAUGAUAAUGGCAUAAAGCAUGGCAAAAAAGAAGGGAGAAGUAGAAGUAUGUCUAAGGAUAAAAGUGCCACUUUGAUCAAAACUAUUAAAAAUAGGUAGGAAUGCUGAAUAAAUAUGAACUUCAGACCCUGAAUUCUCAUUUUGGGCGUAAUAGACUUGAAAUGGCCGCUGAAAUUAUACUAUCAAUGAAAUGAAAUUAGUCAUAUUAAAGGUCGUAAUCAUUUAAUCAUAUUAAAUAUACCAAUAUA